GCAUCAAUGGGGUAGUGGUAACCUUGGUCGUUGCCAAACAAUGUUGAAGUUCGACCAGCCGCGAGUUCAAUUCUUGCUUGAUGCA
RNAcentral lists this transfer RNA (85 nucleotides) under Sphaerobolus stellatus SS14. RNAcentral's name for it is "tRNA-Gly". It matches the Rfam family "tRNA". From Rfam's summary of the family: Transfer RNA (tRNA) molecules are approximately 80 nucleotides in length. The record is from RNAcentral. Lineage: Eukaryota; Fungi; Basidiomycota; Agaricomycetes; Geastrales; Sphaerobolaceae.